AAGUCGUAACAAGGUUUCCGUAGGUGAACCUGCGGAAGGAUCAUUAAUGAAUUUAAGGGUUGUCCUCUUCAUCAGAGGGGAACCGACCCUUCAUUUCCAACCCUGUGCACUAUAUCUGGGAACUUGCGCAAGCGAGAACCCGUCCAUUUAACAUACUCUAAGUAAUUGGAAUGUAACAAAUACAAAACAAAAAAA
Molecule: unclassified non-coding RNA, 195 nt
Filed under: plant metagenome
Description: partial contains small subunit ribosomal RNA and internal transcribed spacer 1
Rfam family: Eukaryotic small subunit ribosomal RNA (bases 1-46)
Source: RNAcentral